Molecule: long non-coding RNA, 1674 nt
Organism: Chenopodium quinoa (quinoa)
Lineage: Eukaryota; Viridiplantae; Streptophyta; Magnoliopsida; Caryophyllales; Amaranthaceae
Exons: 2
Source: RefSeq, a predicted model, not a curated record
AGAGGGAGAGAGAGAGUCUACAAGCAAGAUUGGCUCUACGGUCUAUUCGAUUGAUCAUCUCAAUGCAAUCAAUUACUUGUCUUCCCAAAUUUCAAACUUGGGGAAAGAGAUGACAUUGAUCAAGGCCAUGCUAGAGAGUGCCUCUUUUAUUGCACCAAGUCUUCCCUCCCACAUUCACUACUACAAAAAUGGUUAAAGGAACCUAUAAUAAAUGACUUGUUGAUUAAUUCAACGGCUCUCUUCAAUAUAUUAGAUCUGAUAUUAGUGAUAACGGGUCUCUUAUGUAUCAAAGGACCCGCAAAAAGAUGGAGGGAAAAAAAAAAAGAGAUCCAUAAUUGACUUAACAGGUUUCUUAUAUGUGUAAUGGCUCACCACUUAAAGGAUUGAUAACAAAACCCUAUUCUUUCUCUUUUUAUUCCCUAUUUCAAUUCUGAUCACAAUUCAUCCUCUUCACGCCGCUUUCCUUCUCUAAAAAUGAUAACAGCUUUCUCUAUCUACAACAAUGGGUUCUCCAUUACAAUCCUAGAGCCGCUUUAUUUCUCUCUCUUCUGGGUCCUUCCCUUUCUGGGUUUCUCAUUCCUCUUUUUGUUCCGGCGUUUCGCGGCUUCUCGCUGGUGGUGUAGUGGUGUGAGGUGUCCACCUCUGAAAACAAUUUCAGAUCAUAAAACAUCAAAAACAAAAAUCAUGGGUUAAUAACAAUGGUGUUGAAGUUUCUGAACAAGGAUGGCAUGCUGGAAGCCUUCGAAACAUUGAAAACGUUUGGAAAGCCGAGCAAAAACACGAACAAGAACAACGCAAAUUAGAGGAGCUUCGCAAGCAGAUUCUUGAGGAGAGAGAAUGCGAUGAAUUCCGUGUUCUUCAAGAGCAAGCUGGCCUUACCCCGAGGCAAGAAAGAUGGAAAUGUUUGUUGAUUUAUUAAAAUGUAAAAUUUGGGGCUUUUCUAUUCUAAUUUUUUUGUGGUCCAUAUGUUGUGAACUAUCUUUGAUUUUAUUAUUUCUGUUCCACCCUCUCUUAUCUAGAUAUUACCUGUUGGCUGUCGCCUUUUCUUUUCAAUUCUUUGUGGAUUGCGUGCCUUUCUUUGGUUGUUGCUCUUUAAUUUUUCUUUUUUCUCCCACCAAAGGUUGCUGUAUAUUUUAGGAAUAUCAUUUUCUACAGUUGGUUCUGCAUCUUUCCAGAAUUUUGUUAAUGGACUCUGCUUCAUAUUUUUAGCUGAACAAUCUUGAGAAAAUUUUGCUCGUAUAAAGAUAUAUUGGACCAUCUUCUCAUCUCUCUUUUGGGACAUUCUGUUUUGAUAAAAUUUGAUUGAUUGAUCUUACAUAAGGUUUUAGUUCCAUUAUUCAUGAGUAUUUAUUCGUUUAUAUGGAUUCUCAAUUAUAACAUUCAUUAUUUAUAAUUUAAACAAUUUUUUUGUUGGGAUUUUAUGUUCGUUGAUUUUUAUUUUUUUUUAUCAUCUGCUUGAUGUCAUUACAAUCAAACAAAGAAGGUAGCAAAUGGAGCAUGUACUCAAGUCUAAUUAUGUAAUUGUAAUUGUAAAUUUCAAUAAAUUUAAACAAUUUUUUUGUUGGGAUUUUAUGUUCGUUGAUUUUUUUUUUUUUUAUCUCAUCAAUUUGAAGUGUAAUUUGCAUGUUACAUACAAAUUAAGUAUACAAAUUACUAAUACCAAUUUAUAAUUUA